RNAcentral lists this ribosomal RNA (253 nucleotides) under uncultured bacterium. Its description in RNAcentral is "partial 16S ribosomal RNA". It matches the Rfam family "Bacterial small subunit ribosomal RNA", at positions 524 to 776 of the family's 1533-position model. The record is from RNAcentral.
UACGGGGGGGGCAAGCGUUGUUCGGAAUUACUGGGCGUAAAGGGCUCGUAGGCGGCCAACUAAGUCAGACGUGAAAUCCCUCAGCUUAACUGGGGAACUGCGUCUGAUACUGGAUGGCUUGAGAUUGGGAGAGGGAUGCGGAAUUCCAGGUGUAGCGGUGAAAUGCGCAGAUAUCAGGAGGAACACCAGCGGCGAAGGCGGCGCUCUGGGCCGGAACUGACGCUGAGGAGCGAAAGCGUGGGUAGCAAACAGG